RNAcentral lists this ribosomal RNA (465 nucleotides) under Vreelandella stevensii. Its description in RNAcentral is "partial 16S ribosomal RNA". It matches the Rfam family "Bacterial small subunit ribosomal RNA", at positions 338 to 795 of the family's 1533-position model. Lineage: Bacteria; Pseudomonadati; Pseudomonadota; Gammaproteobacteria; Oceanospirillales; Halomonadaceae. The record is from RNAcentral.
CCUACGGGAGGCAGCAGUGGGGAAUAUUGGACAAUGGGGGCAACCCUGAUCCAGCCAUGCCGCGUGUGUGAAGAAGGCCCUCGGGUUGUAAAGCACUUUCAGUGAGGAAGAACGCCUGGUGGUUAAUACCCAUCAGGAAAGACAUCACUCACAGAAGAAGCACCGGCUAACUCCGUGCCAGCAGCCGCGGUAAUACGGAGGGUGCGAGCGUUAAUCGGAAUUACUGGGCGUAAAGCGCGCGUAGGUGGCUUGAUAAGCCGGUUGUGAAAGCCCCGGGCUCAACCUGGGAACGGCAUCCGGAACUGUCAAGCUAGAGUGCAGGAGAGGAAGGUAGAAUUCCCGGUGUAGCGGUGAAAUGCGUAGAGAUCGGGAGGAAUACCAGUGGCGAAGGCGGCCUUCUGGACGGACACUGACACUGAGGUGCGAAAGCGUGGGUAGCAAACAGGAUUAGAUACCCUAGUAGUC